CAAUAGCGUAUAUUAAAGUUGUUGCAGUUAAAAAGCUCGUAGUUGGAUUUUUGGUGGGAGCGAUCGGUCUGGCGCUUAGCGCGAGUACUUGCAUCGUCUCCGGCCAUCCUUGGGGAGAGUCUGUCUGGCAUUAGGUUGUCGGGCAGAGGAUCCUCAUCGUUUACUGUGAAAAAAUUAGAGUGUUCAAAGCAGGCUUAUGCCGUUGAAUAUAUUAGCAUGGAAUAAUAAGAUAGGACUUUGGUACUAUUUUGUUGGUUUGCGCACCAAAGUAAUGAUUAAUAGGGACAGUUGGGGGUAUUCGUAUUCCGUUGUCAGAGGUGAAAUUCUUGGAUUUACGGAAGACGAACUACUGCGAAAGCAUUUACCAAGGAUGUUUUCAUUAA
Molecule: ribosomal RNA, 383 nt
Filed under: uncultured eukaryote
Lineage: Eukaryota
Description: partial 18S ribosomal RNA
Rfam family: Eukaryotic small subunit ribosomal RNA
Source: RNAcentral